RNAcentral lists this long non-coding RNA (305 nucleotides) under Carica papaya (papaya). RNAcentral's name for it is "long non-coding RNA (CPAP_LNC003020)". The record is from RNAcentral. Lineage: Eukaryota; Viridiplantae; Streptophyta; Magnoliopsida; Brassicales; Caricaceae.
CUACAUAGAAAACCCUACCGUGAACGUUACCUCAUACCGGACGGGGUAUUGAGAAAAGAUAUUUUUGGCGCUCAUAUCGGAUAGGAUAUGGGAACGACCCGAUUCACCCUCAUACCGGACGGGGUAUUGAGGAAUAGUACUUUUUGGUGCCCAUACCGGAUGGGAUAUAGGGAUGGCCGGUUAGUUGACAAGUUUUGUUAUAGGUUCACGCGUAGUGGGACAUCCCUAUGGACCCCCAGGGACACCAGUAAGCAAAUAAAAAGAGAAAGUUGUUGUUCUGACUAAUUGAAUAUGAGAUUAUAAUG